This 756-nucleotide ribosomal RNA is filed under the name Escherichia coli. RNAcentral describes it as "partial 23S ribosomal RNA". It matches the Rfam family "Bacterial large subunit ribosomal RNA", at positions 436 to 1191 of the family's 2925-position model. The record is from RNAcentral. Lineage: Bacteria; Pseudomonadati; Pseudomonadota; Gammaproteobacteria; Enterobacterales; Enterobacteriaceae.
GUCUGAAUAUGGGGGGACCAUCCUCCAAGGCUAAAUACUCCUGACUGACCGAUAGUGAACCAGUACCGUGAGGGAAAGGCGAAAAGAACCCCGGCGAGGGGAGUGAAAAAGAACCUGAAACCGUGUACGUACAAGCAGUGGGAGCACAGAGCAAUCUGUGUGACUGCGUACCUUUUGUAUAAUGGGUCAGCGACUUAUAUUCUGUAGCAAGGUUAACCGAAUAGGGGAGCCGAAGGGAAACCGAGUCUUAACUGGGCGUUAAGUUGCAGGGUAUAGACCCGAAACCCGGUGAUCUAGCCAUGGGCAGGUUGAAGGUUGGGUAACACUAACUGGAGGACCGAACCGACUAAUGUUGAAAAAUUAGCGGAUGACUUGUGGCUGGGGGUGAAAGGCCAAUCAAACCGGGAGAUAGCUGGUUCUCCCCGAAAGCUAUUUAGGUAGCGCCUCGUGAAUUCAUCUCCGGGGGUAGAGCACUGUUUCGGCAAGGGGGUCAUCCCGACUUACCAACCCGAUGCAAACUGCGAAUACCGGAGAAUGUUAUCACGGGAGACACACGGCGGGUGCUAACGUCCGUCGUGAAGAGGGAAACAACCCAGACCGCCAGCUAAGGUCCCAAAGUCAUGGUUAAGUGGGAAACGAUGUGGGAAGGCCCAGACAGCCAGGAUGUUGGCUUAGAAGCAGCCAUCAUUUAAAGAAAGCGUAAUAGCUCACUGGUCGAGUCGGCCUGCGCGGAAGAUGUAACGGGGCUAAACCAUG